UACAUCGUGAGGUGUGGGAGAGAGGAAGCAAUCGCGAAAUCGUGGCUUGACGGACAGAAACUAGGUACAAGGCUUUUUGAACGGGUAAGUUAGCCAAAGGUAACAAAGCCCAAAAGAUAGACGUAAGUUCAAGGUGCAAACCUAGCUAGUAAACAAGACAAAGAUAUAUGA
Non-coding RNA from Erysipelothrix larvae, 171 nucleotides. Lineage: Bacteria; Bacillati; Bacillota; Erysipelotrichia; Erysipelotrichales; Erysipelotrichaceae. The record is from Rfam.